AUGAUGUAUUUAAUGGCCGCGGUAUUUUGACCGUGCAAAGGUAGCAUAAUCAUUAGUCUAUUAAUUGUGGACUUGUAUGAAUGGUUUGACGAAGUAUUGACUGUCUCUUUAGUAAUAUUAUAAUUUAAAUUUUUAGUUAAAAUGCUGGGAUUAAUGUUUAUGGGACGAGAAGACCCUAUAGAUCUUUAUAAUUUAAUUUAUUAUUAUUUUUGGUUUGUUUUUAUUGAUUUAUUGAAUUAUUUUGUUGGGGUGACUUGGAGAUAUAAUUAACUCUUUAUAUUUAUAGACAUUGAUUUUUGAUUUAUUGACCUUUUAAUAUUGUUAUAAGAUGUAGAUACCUUAGGGAUAACAGCGUAAUUUUUCUUGAGAGUUCAUAUCGACAGAUUAAGUUUGCGACCUCGAUGUUGGAUUAAGAUUAUAAUUGGGUGUAGAUGCUUAAUUAUUAGGUCUGUUCGACCUUUAAAUUCUUACAUGAUCUGAGU
This 482-nucleotide ribosomal RNA is filed under the name Orestes mouhotii. RNAcentral describes it as "partial 16S ribosomal RNA". It matches the Rfam family "Bacterial large subunit ribosomal RNA", at positions 1915 to 2610 of the family's 2925-position model. Lineage: Eukaryota; Metazoa; Arthropoda; Insecta; Phasmatodea; Heteropterygidae. The record is from RNAcentral.